Molecule: long non-coding RNA, 1696 nt
Filed under: Triticum aestivum (bread wheat)
Lineage: Eukaryota; Viridiplantae; Streptophyta; Magnoliopsida; Poales; Poaceae
Description: long non-coding RNA (TAES_LNC024449)
Source: RNAcentral
ACGGCGGCUCCUUGGCUGGAUCAUGGUGAUGAUGCAGCCGGAUCGGCGGGGGCUAGGGAUCUCGCCGGCUGGCGUUUCUUUGAUGCCUGGGUGUUCCAAUGGUGAUGGAACAGAUGUAUAAUGUACGGCACAAGACUUUGGACGAGGCUGAUCUGCGUGGAUGAUUGUGGCUUGGCCGUCGGGCACACAAUCCAUUGAUUCACACAUAAGGUUUGCCUUUUUUUUCUUCUCUUUGCAUUCUUUUCUAUUAAGUUUUUAGAUCUUUUGUGUUGGCCAACGAAAAAAAGAUUUAGCACCCUAGAUUUCUACUUUAUAUCAGUCUGGAAGCUCACCAGCCAAUCAAUCCACUUGGAUUUCAAAGAUAUAAUGGACUAUAUUCACUCACGUUGCCCACGCCCUGUUGUUUCAUAGAUAUAUCUAUGCAUAUUUUGGUAUUGCAUCGUUAAGCAGUUCCUGGGAAUUACGUGCAUCAGGCAUAAGUUUUAUUUCCUCUAUGCUUUAGUUGGAAAUGGCAACUUGAUUUAACUAGAUUGGUUGUAAGCUUCGCUAAAUUCCACAACAGUUAUAUUCGUGAUGGGAUCACACGAAUGCCCUGGUGCCCGGUGUUCAGUGUGUUGUUCGAUGAGCAGUUGGGUAUUCCCAGGCCCAUAUGAGCACUUGGGUGGCUGACUGGUUGUAUGUGGUACUUAAGUUACAUUUUUCUUCUAUAUACAGAAUAAAUUCUGCAAGGCCCGUGGCGACUGAAAAUUCUGCUUUAAGCAGUCCCUGGGAAUUACGUGCAGCAGGUGUAAGUCCUAUUUCCUCUAUGUUGGGAAUUACAUUUUUCUUCUAUAUACAGAAUAAAUUCUGCAAGGCCCGUGGCGACUGAAAAUUCUGCAAGGUUUUAUGUACAUGAAAAGGUAAAUUUCAUAUAGUUGCAAUUGCAACCAGAGAAUCCAUGGUUUGUUAGUUUGUUUCUCAUUAUAUGCAUGGUCUUUCCUUUGAAAUUCCAAUAUUUAUAUUGUAGAAUUGCCAGUUAUAGAACAUAUGACAAGGUAUUUUCAGUUGUGAUAUCAGAGUGUCCUUUUUGUAAUUUUCAUUUGUAGCACUGAGUUGUGCAGAUUUAUGAUGGUCAAAAUAAUGUUGGCUAAAUCUAUUAGUAGAGUUAUUUAUUCUGUUCUGCACACCUGAAUAUUCAGAGUUAUAUGCAUGCAACGACGUCUACAUGUACUCGGUCGAUGAUCACUACUCUGCAGUACAAAAUUUCUAUGAGCACACUUAAGCAGAGUUAUAUGCAGACAAUUAACAGUAAUAGCAAUUGUUGUUAUUUUCAGAGCAGUUUUAAUUUUAAAAAACAUGUACUUGAUUAAUCUUUUCUUUUCUUUCAUGCAACGAAUAGAGUAUACACAAUAUACUACAAUUUGGUGUAACCCACACAAGGAUUCAAGAAGCAGGGCCAAACAGGACUAAUGAAGACAUAGCACAGUACUGUUCUUCAGGAUAUGAUGUUUAUUUUUGCCAAAAUUAUUAAGAGAUGAAGUAGUUUAUUAGGUUUCCAUUCCUUAUAUUGUGCAUUUUUUAUGUGACUAUUCUCGGUACAUAUAUUCUUAAGAAAAACAAGAUAGUUGUUGAAUGCUCUCUGAAACAUAGCAUAGAUUUUUUGUCGAAAAUAAUACUCUAUUUACUUUGAAUGUGAGUUCUGUUUUGCUUUAAACAG